Molecule: long non-coding RNA, 574 nt
Filed under: Olea europaea (common olive)
Lineage: Eukaryota; Viridiplantae; Streptophyta; Magnoliopsida; Lamiales; Oleaceae
Description: long non-coding RNA (OEUR_LNC006427)
Source: RNAcentral
GUCAAGUACAUCACUCUCACUAGAUGCAACCAAACUAUCACUUAGCUAUUGUUCUCCCAUCCGAUUACGCAGUCGAUUAUUGACAAUUUUCAUUGCAAAAAAUACUCUUUCUACUGUAGCAGUAGCACCUGGAAGAAUUAACGCCAAUGUUACAAGUCUGUAAACUAUGGAUACACCUCAUGUUUUUCAUCGCAACCAACUUUUUUGUAAGAUCAUUAAGACCUCGUAACCCAUCAAAAUCUACAUGAGUGCACAUAUCAACAAUAUAUGUUGCUCUUCAAGUGCCAAGACCAUUGUACUCACUUCGCAUAUUGCUUGCCCCAUCAUAACCUUGAUAUCUUAAACUAUAUAUACUUAAGUUCAAUCUAGAGAAUAAGUGAUCAAUAGAAUCCUUAUCUGAGAGAGCUGUGGUACUAGAGACAUGUUCAACUUCGAUAAAACAUUUCGUUACUUUUCCUUUCUGAUUCAUAUAACGUAGAACAAUUAACAUUUGCUCAUUCGCUGAUACAUCAUGAGAUUCAUCAUCAAGAAUGAAAAAUAACCCAUCACCAAUAUCCUUCACAAUAACAUCCAG